RNAcentral lists this transfer RNA (85 nucleotides) under Felis catus (domestic cat). It matches the Rfam family "tRNA". From Rfam's summary of the family: Transfer RNA (tRNA) molecules are approximately 80 nucleotides in length. Their secondary structure includes four short double-helical elements and three loops (D, anti-codon, and T loops). The record is from Rfam by way of RNAcentral. Lineage: Eukaryota; Metazoa; Chordata; Mammalia; Carnivora; Felidae.
GCCUGAGUGGCUCAGUUGGUUGAGCAUCUGACUUCAGCUCAGGUCAUGAUCUCACAGUGUGUGGGUUCGAGCCCCACGUCUGGCU